GCACAUUGGCCAUGGAUGCUGCACAAUACACAAAUUCAUGGCUAAUCAAUUCAAGAAACUUAAGAACAUAAAAGAAUAAUGAGGAAGAAAAAUAAAACAAAAAAUCUAAGGAAUGCUUGAAUGUUAUAUCAUUUAAUAACAAAUUUGAAGAAUUGAAGGUUCUAUAAGAAAGCUCUUUGCAAGUGACUAAAACACAACAGUAAAAAGUGACAUUUAAAAGCUGUUGGAACCUUGUCCUGCACUGAACAGACAGGCUUCACCAACCAAAAAAAUGAAACAAACCUGGAAAUGAGGGAAUUUCUCAAACUUUGGGAAUGCAUUAUUGGGGUGGAAACGUUCAAAUCGAAAUUUUGUUGAAGUUGAUUAUGGAGAUGUAAAAAUGGACUGUAAAAUCUAAGAGAUUGUACUAAGAGAAGAUAAAAGGCAGGAAGGCCUUACGUUAAUUUGUAGGAAACAUUAGUUGCUUAAUAAAAUCAAAAGGUUAUUAUCCACACACAACUAUUCAAGCAAUGAGCUUGGGGGGAAGAAGGCACUAAUUACUCACUAGUAUCCAUCUCUAAGCCCACCA
RNAcentral lists this unclassified non-coding RNA (568 nucleotides) under Hevea brasiliensis (rubber tree). The record is from RNAcentral. Lineage: Eukaryota; Viridiplantae; Streptophyta; Magnoliopsida; Malpighiales; Euphorbiaceae.